This 468-nucleotide ribosomal RNA is filed under the name uncultured bacterium. Its description in RNAcentral is "partial 16S ribosomal RNA". It matches the Rfam family "Bacterial small subunit ribosomal RNA", at positions 28 to 507 of the family's 1533-position model. The record is from RNAcentral.
GACGAACGCUGGCGGCGUGCUUAACACAUGCAAGUCGAACGGAAAGGCCCUGCUUUUGUGGGGUGCUCGAGUGGCGAACGGGUGAGUAACACGUGAGUAACCUGCCCUUGACUUUGGGAUAACUUCAGGAAACUGGGGCUAAUACCUGAUAGGAGCUCCUGCUGCAUGGUGGGGGUUGGAAAGUUUCGGCGGUUGGGGAUGGACUCGCGGCUUAUCAGCUUGUUGGUGGGGUAGUGGCUUACCAAGGCUUUGACGGGUAGCCGGCCUGAGAGGGUGACCGGCCACAUUGGGACUGAGAUACGGCCCCGACUCCUACGGGAGGCAGCGGUGGGGAAUAUUGCACAAUGGGCGGAGGCCUGAUGCAGCAACGCCGCGUGCGGGAUGACGGCCUUCGGGUUGUAAACCGCUUUCGCCUGUGACGAAGCGUGAGUGACGGUAAUGGGUAAAGAAGCACCGGCUAACUACGUG